Hirundo rustica (Barn swallow) is the source of this 1609-nucleotide long non-coding RNA. RefSeq lists it as uncharacterized. NCBI's taxonomy places the organism in Eukaryota, Metazoa, Chordata, Aves, Passeriformes, Hirundinidae. The record is from RefSeq and is a predicted model, not a curated record. The transcript has 3 exons.
GGGGUGAGGACGGACAGACGGACGAGCGGAUGGAUGAGCACGGGGGACGGACGGACUCACCGCGGAGCAGCGCCGGGCCCCGGGACCGAUCCGCUGCCCUGCGCUGCCAAAAUCCCUGCUCCCGGGACCCAGCUGAGCAGCACUGUGAAGUUCUUCAGAGUUGAUUCUGCACGUCAAAUAAGUGGUUCUGGAGCUGCUACAUACCAGCCCUGAUGGAAACAGGACAACAGCCUCCCUCCAGCUGCCCAAGCUCAGCCAUGGCCACAACGCCACAACAGCAUCAUGGCUUUGCAAGAAGUCACAAGGGAAGUAUUAUCAGCCCACCAAGAGACAAACAGCACUGGGAUACUGUGUCUUACCAAGUUAGAGAUUGCUGCUCUGGCAUGGUCCAUUUCCUUCUGGACAAACGCAAACCAACUUCACCAAAGCCCUAUAAGUUCAGAAUGUAACAAGUCAGGUUAGACUGUUCCUUUGCUGCGACAUUACACACCUGAGCAUCAGUGCACUGCUUGCCCGUGAAUCUUCUGUGCGUACUUCAAUGUAAGUCACUACAUUAGCGAAUCUGCAUGAAUCCUGAACACAAUCUAAAAGUUCCCAUGGCAAUUAUAACCUCCAGUGAACACAUCGAGUCUUUCUGCUCAACUCUGGGCUCAGUGACAGGUGUAUAAAUGAAGAAUACAGUCUCCAAUGGCUAAGCUCAGCCAAGGGUCUCAUUAAUGGUGGGGACAUCUCCAUUCAGGGAGUGCUGGCAAAAGGCAUUUACUCAGCUGUGACAAUGGACUCUAGAUAUCUAAGGUUCCUGGGGUCUGUCUCAAUGACAGGAAUAGUCCAGCUGGAAGAGAGAAGAGUCACAAGGCCAUAAGGCAAAGCAGCACACACUCCAACCCCAACAAAACACUUCUAAGAGGAACAUCCCUCCUAGAUGGUUAUGUUCUCUACAACUUGAUGAAGGCAAUUUCUGUUUUGAAAAGCCUCUGAAAAUCACUAAGAGUAUCUCUCCAAAAUCAUUGCAGCAACUUUUAAAAUUCUAAGUUCUCUGUAAACAGCAAACAUAUCUGAAAGGUAAAUUGUAACUGAUUUACUUCUCCAUUUCUUCUUGAAAAAGGUUUGCCAUUUAGUGAGUGACUAGACCGGUGCUGAGGUUGGGAGCAAGCAACCUGAGUAUGCCCUUAAGCAGCGCUUACUAAGAAUUGGCUCUGGCCUUCAGGUGCACGUAGAUCAGCUCUACACCUGGGAGCUCUGCAAGGUUCUGUUUGGAGACCAAAGGUCAACAGCGGCCACUGCUUAUUUCACCUUUCAUUCUGGGCAAGAACACCUGGGGACGAAACCCCGACACAUGCGAGAAGCCUUUCCCAAGUGACAGCCUGAGGCCGCGGGCUCCCACCGGAGGCACGAGUGGACUGAGCACGUGGAGGCUCCGCUAAAAGGAAACCCGGAAAGACGCAGGGAAAACACAAAGGGCCUGCGGGCAUCGCACCUGGUAGGGAUGCUGACCGGGUGCGCGAUGCCUCCCCGAGCCCCUCCAGCCAAGCCCCAAUCUUUCAGAAACAAGGCGAAGAGAAGAAAAGACAGAAAAGCGAGCGGGGCUGGGCGGCCGCGGUAUCUCCAC